This 320-nucleotide ribosomal RNA is filed under the name Thunnus albacares (yellowfin tuna). RNAcentral's name for it is "partial 16S ribosomal RNA". It matches the Rfam family "Bacterial large subunit ribosomal RNA", at positions 2077 to 2546 of the family's 2925-position model. Lineage: Eukaryota; Metazoa; Chordata; Actinopteri; Scombriformes; Scombridae. The record is from RNAcentral.
AAGACGAGAAGACCCUGUGGAGUUUUAGACCUAAAAUAAUCAUGUUAAACACCCUAAACUGUUGGAUCAGGACAUCAUAUAUGGACAUUUAUUUAUGUGUCUUGGUGUGGGGCCACCGCGGAAAUAAACACACCCCCCAUGUGGAGGGGGAUACUCUCCCUAAAACUCAGAGCCUCCACUCCAAGAAACAGAAAUUCUGACCUCACUGAUCCGGUACAGCCGAUUAACGAACCCAGUUACCCCAGGGAUAACAGCGCAAUCCCCUCUCAGAGCUCAUAUCGACAAGGGGGUUUACGACCUCGAUGUUGGAUCAGGACAUC